RNAcentral lists this ribosomal RNA (521 nucleotides) under uncultured bacterium. Its description in RNAcentral is "partial 16S ribosomal RNA". It matches the Rfam family "Bacterial small subunit ribosomal RNA", at positions 355 to 868 of the family's 1533-position model. The record is from RNAcentral.
UAGGGAAUCUUCCACAAUGGACGCAAGUCUGAUGGAGCAACGCCGCGUGAGUGAAGAAGGUUUUCGGACCGUAAAGCUCUGUUGUUGGUGAAGAAGGAUAGAGGUAGUAACUGGCCUUUAUUUGACGGUAAUCAACCAGAAAGUCACGGCUAACUACGUGCCAGCAGCCGCGGUAAUACGUAGGUGGCAAGCGUUGUCCGGAUUUAUUGGGCGUAAAGCGAGCGCAGGCGGAAGAAUAAGUCUGAUGUGAAAGCCCUCGGCUUAACCGAGGAAUUGCAUCGGAAACUGUUUUCUUGAGUGCAGAAGAGGAGAGUAGAACUCCAUGUGUAGCGGUGGAAUGCGUAGAUAUAUGGAAGAAUACCAGUGGCGAAGGCGGCUCUCUGGUCUGCAACUGACGCUGAGGCUCGAAAGCAUGGGUAGCGAACAGGAUUAGAUACCCUGGUAGUCCAUGCCGUAAACGAUGAGUGCUAAGUGUUGGGAGGCUUCCGCCUCUCAGUGCUGCAGCUAACGCAUUAAGCACU